RNAcentral lists this ribosomal RNA (107 nucleotides) under uncultured bacterium. RNAcentral's name for it is "partial 16S ribosomal RNA". It matches the Rfam family "Bacterial small subunit ribosomal RNA", at positions 249 to 354 of the family's 1533-position model. The record is from RNAcentral.
UUGGUCGGGCGGAACGGCCCACCAAGGCGACGAUNGUAGCCGGCCUGAGAGGGUGGACGGCCACAUUGGGACUGAGACACGGCCCAAACUCCUACGGAAGGCAGCAG